AGGAUCAUUAUCGAAUAAAACUUGAGCAGGCUGUUGCUGGCCCUCCCAGGGGGGUAUGUGCACGCUUGUUCUUCGUUAUUUCUCCAACUUGUGCACAUCCUGUAGACCCUGGAGCUUUUGCAUGUUCAAAAACUCCGAGUCGGGACUGCUGUGUUUCCACUUGUAAUGUGUGAAGUCGGCUUUCCCUUUAGGUCUAUGUCAUUUUAUAUUCACAAAUGCCGUUCAGAAUGUUUUGGAAUCAGGUCUUUAUUGUACCUAUAGAAAUGAAAUAUACAACUUUCAGCAACGGAUCUCUUGGCUCUCGCAUCGAUGAAGAACGCAGCGAAAUGCGAUAAGUAAUGUGAAUUGCAGAAUUCAGUGAAUCAUCGAAUCUUUGAACGCAUCUUGCGCUCCUUGGUAUUCCGAGGAGCAUGCCUGUUUGAGUGUCAUUCAACUCCUCAACCACGUUCAUGUGAACCGUGGCUUGGAUGGUGGGGGUUCAUUUGCAGGCCUCUCUCUUCUGAGGUCGGCUCCCCUGAAAUGUAUCAGCGGUAAUCUUAGGCUAUUGCUAUAGGUGUGAUAAAUUAUCUAUGCCCUUGGUGUAUGCCACAAUGGAACUGCUUCUAAACCCA
This 611-nucleotide ribosomal RNA is filed under the name uncultured Inocybaceae. RNAcentral describes it as "eukaryotic LSU rRNA". The stretch from base 275 to 428 matches the Rfam family "5.8S ribosomal RNA". Lineage: Eukaryota; Fungi; Basidiomycota; Agaricomycetes; Agaricales. The record is from RNAcentral.